This 198-nucleotide ribosomal RNA is filed under the name uncultured bacterium. RNAcentral describes it as "partial 16S ribosomal RNA". It matches the Rfam family "Bacterial small subunit ribosomal RNA", at positions 1303 to 1500 of the family's 1533-position model. The record is from RNAcentral.
GGCUGAAAUUCGCCUUCAUGAAGCCGGAAUUGCUAGUAAUGGCAGGUCAGCAUACUGCCGUGAAUACGUUCCCGGGCCUUGUACACACCGCCCGUCACACCAUGAGAGUUGGGGAUACCCGAGGCCUGUGAGCUAACAGUAAUGGAGCAGCAGUCGAAGGUAGAAUCAAUGAUUGGGGUGAAGUCGUAACAAGGUAAC